This is a long non-coding RNA of Rosa chinensis, 1614 nucleotides long. RefSeq lists it as uncharacterized. NCBI's taxonomy places the organism in Eukaryota, Viridiplantae, Streptophyta, Magnoliopsida, Rosales, Rosaceae. The transcript is spliced from 6 exons. The record is from RefSeq and is a predicted model, not a curated record.
CAAUAAAAUACAAGGAUACCUUUCCUUUUCUCACCUCACCGUUUCGGGCCUAAUUCUCAUCUACCUCCAAUCUGCAACUCCAAUUCCUUAAAUCCACUGUCUCCGUCGAACAUCUCCACCUUCUAAAUCUUGAUCAUCGAUCGAGGCUGUUUUGUUGCAAUUGUAGCCGAAGCCGGCGAAUCAGAAGAAGCCCUUGAUCUCAGACCAGUUUAGACCCGAUCCUUCAAUGUCCAGUACUACGCGCUGGGAAAUUGAAGCAGGACAAGAAGAGAGAAGAAAAUGCAGUGAACCCUUUUUGAUUGUUAGUUUGAGUUUAUUAUGCAAGUCUAUUGGCUUUACUGUUAUUUCUUAUAUAUGUUGCUUGAAGAUUAUUAGUUUGAUUAUUGAGUUGGUAGUGCUAUAGGACUUUUAGACUGCCGUGCUGAUGAGUUUAGGAAUUGACAGGAGAGGAAUACCAGUUUGAAGAAUUUGUGCAGGUGGAUUCCGAACUUCGCUCCCCAGAAGAGGUCCAAAACAUCACAGCGCACUCCCACUGGUAUUGCAUUGCUCAGACUUUGUUUGGUUUGCAAUAGCGAUCCUAAGCUUGAUGUCAACUAUUCUGCCUUGGAAAACUGAAGUUAUCUUGAAGAAAGUAGUCAUUGCACUUGGCAAGAGUGUAGCUGGAAGUAUCAAAGAGUAAGGUUUGAGCUUCUUUUUCUUCUAAUAACCUGAAAUGGUUUAUUUCAGUUGUGACUAUGGAUUUUGAGGGUCUGCUUAUGAUAGAAGCUAUUUGAAGAGUAUAAGAAAUUAUAGAGGGAUUUUAUAGUAGGUUGGGAGAAGCCCCAUGUGUUUAUGAAUGUCCCUAUUUGACAUCCAACUAUAUUGUUGUUCUGUUGUCAAAGCUUGCUGUUCUUUUUUUUCUUUUUCAUGCUGCAUACAUAAAUAUGCUAGAAGGUGAUCUACUGAUCUAGAAUGUGAUCUUUGGGUUGUCAAAGAAUGCAUCUAGGUCCUAGAUUUGGCCCAGUCUAAUCAUUAAGAGCCGAGGACUUUAGGUGGGGAUGCACACAAACAUGAUAGUUUAUAGGCUGUAUGCUUAUUCUUUUGUACAUUUGGAAAUGAAGUUCAGAGUAUGGCAUAGGAAUGGAGGUGUCAACAAGUCGUGACAUCUAUAGCUAUGAAAUCCUGCUAUUUGAGAUGCUGAUAGGCAAGAGAUUGAUAUAUGACAUGUUUAAAGACGACCUGAACUUGCAUAAAUUUGUCAAAUAAGGCUUUGGCCUCCUUAUCCUAUUGGAUGGUGAUCAGAGCUGAGUCUUCUAGCCAUCCCAGCCAGCUUUUGAGCAACAGCACUUGGAGCCUAUUAUUGAAGAGGAGCUUUUGAACCAGCACAUGGACACUAUUGAAGAGUGUACGACUGGCUUUGAUUAUCCAACAAGAUGCUACCAGGCUACUUUGUUCUUGGGAUUUUAUGAUCUGUACCUAAAAUUAUGCUUGACCGGGACGGCUAGAAGACUGGGCUCUGAUCAAGAUGUUACCAGUAGACUUUGUUUGUGGGAUUUUAUGAUUUUUACUAAUUUUGAAUGCUAUGGAAACUUCUCUAAGUAUAUCAUGUCUUUAUUCAUUUGAAGUUCAGCUUCA